Mustela lutreola (European mink) is the source of this 1170-nucleotide long non-coding RNA. RefSeq lists it as uncharacterized. The record is from RefSeq and is a predicted model, not a curated record. Lineage: Eukaryota; Metazoa; Chordata; Mammalia; Carnivora; Mustelidae. The transcript has 3 exons.
CUCGGCCCGCGCGCGCCAACUUUCCGGAGGGCCCGGCUCCAGGGCGAGUCCCGGGGGAGAGAACCCAGGGCGUUGGGCUCUCCGGACAGGAGCUGAUGUCGCAGCAGCAUCGUGGGCUGAUGUCAUCAGGGCCGGGGAAGACUUUGUGGGAAGGAGCGCUGCAGAGAGCACUGGGACUUCUGUCCGGACCAUUCCUGAGCCCCAGGACCACAGGGACAGGGAAUCAGACCCCUCACCUGCAUUGAGGCCAGCCGUCAGCCAGCCAAACGGAGGGGGCUCUCCUUGGAAGGGGCCUUGAGGGGCUUGAAGAGAAAGAAGAAAAACAGCAAAAGCAAAACCCCUGGGAAAGCCAGUCCGAAGGUCCACGGAAACCUCCCGGAAAUGCACGCAAGGGUCGGGUUCCCUCCGCAACCAAUUAAGGCUUCAGAAGACCUACCCACCCCCAGCCUUUCCCAGUGUCUUUGUCUUUCCUUCCCGACUAAUGGCUGUUUAAGCCAGUGUUGUCAGCUAAAUGCCGUCCCCCGGCCCUCCAGAGGCCACUCACCUUGGGCUGGCAGGGCCGGGCCACCGGUUUUCCCAUCUCUGGGCAAUUUAGCAACUGCUGGUUGAGAGAUGCUAAAUUAAUUAAAGAGGUAGUGGCAACGUGGAGUAAGGCUGAACAUCGAAAAUCAGCUUUUAAUUGAAAAAUGAAAUGCGUCUUCCCAGAGUCAGGCGCUGGCCCUGGGAUGCGGGGGUCUCAUUAGCACGGUGCUCGAUGGUUGAGGCUAAUGAAGUAGAUGACGUGGCGGAGAGCCACAGACCUGCCUUCCGCGACACUUCGUUCACGGACGUGUACGAUUGUUCAUGCCGUUGGGCUUAAACGUGGCCUUGGGGCUUGGAUGUCAGCCUGCAGGCUGCCCUGACCCUUCACACCACAGAAGGCAAGACCGUGAACUCCGCCAUAGCCUGCGGAGAGCCCUUGAGCCCAGUCCCGAGUCCCAGCUGGGGUGGGAGCCCUUCUAGCCGGCCUGCUGACUGCAGACCCUUUGCCCGACGCCUGCUCUGCCCUCCUUUGAGAGUGCUCCUUUUUGGGGAACCCACCAACCCCUUUGCACAAGGUCUGAUGGGACAUGGCCGGAGGUGCCCAGAGCCUUUCUCUCUGAGGAGAAGGCCGCCCGGCGUUCCUCCACC